Molecule: ribosomal RNA, 405 nt
Filed under: uncultured prokaryote
Description: partial 16S ribosomal RNA
Source: RNAcentral
CCCUAGGUGCAGCAGGCGUGCAUCCUUAAAAGCGCCUCCCCCAUAUCCAUCAUGGUCAGGGAAAAUGAGGCGAUGACCGCAUCAAACGGGCCGCCGAGCUCGCUCAGGUCCGCGUCUUCCCACCGCUUCGGGAUGACGUAAAUAUUUUUUAUCUGAUGUUCCCUGAUCCGUGCCUCCAGCAUCUCCCGCAUAACGGGCGAUGGUUCGAUCACGGUCAGGUCGCAGCCCCGCUGUGCAAGCGGGACGGCAUAGGUGCCCGGCCCGGCGCCGAUGUCGAGAACCCGCGAGCCAUCGGGAAUCUUCAUGGAGGCAAGCCGGGCCUCCGUGAUCGCAUCGUGGCCGGCGUUCUCCUUUCCGUACACAGUAUGGAUCUUCUUCUUGUUUCCCCAGAAUUGGCGGGAGGGC